RNAcentral lists this ribosomal RNA (154 nucleotides) under Olimarabidopsis pumila. RNAcentral's name for it is "5.8S ribosomal RNA". It matches the Rfam family "5.8S ribosomal RNA". From Rfam's summary of the family: 5.8S ribosomal RNA (5.8S rRNA) is a component of the large subunit of the eukaryotic ribosome. It is transcribed by RNA polymerase I as part of the 45S precursor that also contains 18S and 28S rRNA. The record is from RNAcentral. Lineage: Eukaryota; Viridiplantae; Streptophyta; Magnoliopsida; Brassicales; Brassicaceae.
AAACGACUCUCGGCAACGGAUAUCUCGGCUCUCACAUCGAUGAAGAACGUAGCGAAAUGCGAUACUUGGUGUGAAUUGCAGAAUCCCGUGAACCAUCGAGUCUUUGAACGCAAGUUGCGCCCCAAGCCUUCUGGCCGAGGGCACGUCUGCCUGG